RNAcentral lists this ribosomal RNA (445 nucleotides) under Enterobacter cloacae. Its description in RNAcentral is "bacterial SSU rRNA". It matches the Rfam family "Bacterial small subunit ribosomal RNA", at positions 898 to 1343 of the family's 1533-position model. Lineage: Bacteria; Pseudomonadati; Pseudomonadota; Gammaproteobacteria; Enterobacterales; Enterobacteriaceae. The record is from RNAcentral.
AACUCAAAUGAAUUGACGGGGGCCCGCACAAGCGGUGGAGCAUGUGGUUUAAUUCGAUGCAACGCGAAGAACCUUACCUGGUCUUGACAUCCACAGAACUUUCCAGAGAUGGAUUGGUGCCUUCGGGAACUGUGAGACAGGUGCUGCAUGGCUGUCGUCAGCUCGUGUUGUGAAAUGUUGGGUUAAGUCCCGCAACGAGCGCAACCCUUAUCCUUUGUUGCCAGCGGUCCGGCCGGGAACUCAAAGGAGACUGCCAGUGAUAAACUGGAGGAAGGUGGGGAUGACGUCAAGUCAUCAUGGCCCUUACGACCAGGGCUACACACGUGCUACAAUGGCGCAUACAAAGAGAAGCGACCUCGCGAGAGCAAGCGGACCUCAUAAAGUGCGUCGUAGUCCGGAUUGGAGUCUGCAACUCGACUCCAUGAAGUCGGAAUCGCUAGUAAUC